UUUUUUUUUUUUUUUUUUGAGACGGAGUCUCGCUCUGUUGCCCAGCCUGGUUCUGAAUGGCCAGCUUCCUCAGAUGCCUUAACCAGUACAGAAAGUUGUUCUGCUAAGAAGACAUGUUAUGUCUGCCCUGCCCUGAGUGGUAUCUAAAAACACAAGCGAUUGAUUCCCCUUUCCCCAUCAUCUUUUUUGAGCUUCCUUCUGUAGAGUGGCAUUUGCAGCCCUUGCCUGUUAGGUCUCCUUAGAUAGACUGCUUGCCUCUCUAGGAAAUAGGUGGCUAAUAAGGCCGAGGCCUCUUACUAACCCAAACCUGGCUAGAAAGAGAAGGGAAACAGAGUGCUACUAAGUAGAAAAGAUUAAAGAGUCUCCAAUCCUUAAAAUCAAAAGGGAUGUGGGAAAUUCUCAUCUUACCCCAUUAAGGUGAUCCAGAACCUGACAAUUUCCUGAACACAAAGAUGAGGCCUCUCCAAAAGAAAGAUUAAUGGAGUUGAUCAUUGCGGUGGGGAACUUUCCAGCACUCAGUAUUCUCUUGCCUCUCUUCUGGUGGUACCUUCCCUAGACUGUCUUCCGGGAAAGCAGCCAUCUCUUUCUUAGACCAUGUGGUUUAGAGAAGUGCUUAUUAAAAUGUGGUCUCCUGGUGAUGGAUGGGCCACUAUUCUUGUUACCAAUUUGAGACAAACUUCAGGUAAGCAUUUAGAAACUUUUAUGCCAC
Molecule: long non-coding RNA, 709 nt
Filed under: Homo sapiens (human)
Lineage: Eukaryota; Metazoa; Chordata; Mammalia; Primates; Hominidae
Description: non-protein coding lnc-ZDHHC17-1:1
Source: RNAcentral